AUUGAACGCUGGCGGCAUGCCUUACACAUGCAAGUCGAACGGCAGCGGGCCCUUCGGGGUGCCGGCGAGUGGCGCACGGGUGAGUAAUGCAUCGGAACGUACCCGGGAGAGGGGGAUAACCGGCCGAAAGGCUGGCUAAUACCGCAUGAACUCGGAAGAGCAAAGCGGGGGACCUUCGGGCCUCGCGCUCUCGGAGCGGCCGAUGUCCGAUUAGGCUAGUUGGUGGGGUAAAGGCCCACCACGGCGACGAUCGGUAGCGGGUCGGAGAGGACGAUCCGCCACACUGGGACUGAGACACGGCCCAGACUCCUACGGGAGGCAGCAGUGGGGAAUCUUGGACAAUGGGCGCAAGCCUGAUCCAGCAAUGCCGCGUGGGUGAAGAAGGCCUUCGGGUUGUAAAGCCCUUUCGGCGGGGAAGAAAUCGGUCAGGCGAAUAGUCUGGCCGGAUGACGGUACCCGCAGAAGAAGCACCGGCUAACUACGUG
This 485-nucleotide ribosomal RNA is filed under the name uncultured bacterium. RNAcentral's name for it is "partial 16S ribosomal RNA". It matches the Rfam family "Bacterial small subunit ribosomal RNA", at positions 28 to 507 of the family's 1533-position model. The record is from RNAcentral.